This 144-nucleotide unclassified non-coding RNA is filed under the name Alternariaster helianthi. Its description in RNAcentral is "internal transcibed spacer 2". The record is from RNAcentral. Lineage: Eukaryota; Fungi; Ascomycota; Dothideomycetes; Pleosporales; Leptosphaeriaceae.
GUACCCUCAAGCUCUGCUUGGUGUUGGGUGUUUGUUCCCUGAACUCACCUUAAAACAAUUGGCAGCCGGCAUGUUGGCCUGGAGCGCAGCACAAUUUGCGUCCCAUUCCAGUAGUGUUGGCACCCAUCAAGACCUAUAUUUUGC